RNAcentral lists this ribosomal RNA (116 nucleotides) under Pteropus alecto (black flying fox). Lineage: Eukaryota; Metazoa; Chordata; Mammalia; Chiroptera; Pteropodidae. The record is from RNAcentral.
CUCUCUGGCCAUGCCACCCUGAACACGCCCGAUGUCUGAUCUCGGAAGCUAAGCGGGUUCAGGCCUGGUUAGUACUUGGAGGGGAGACCACCUAGGAAGACCAGGUGCUGCAGGUG